UACGUAGGCAGCGAGCGUUGUUCGGAAUUACUGGGCGUAAAGAGUGUGUAGGCGGUGCUCUAAGUUCGGUGUGAAAUCUCCUGGCUUAACUGGGAGGGUGCGCCGGAAACUGGAGUGCUUGAACGUGGGAGAGGAAAGCGGAAUUCCUGGUGUAGCGGUGAAAUGCGUAGAUAUCAGGAGGAACACCUGCGGUGUAGACGGCUUUCUGGACCAUUGUUGACGCUGAGACACGAAAGCGUGGGUAGCAAACAGG
Molecule: ribosomal RNA, 253 nt
Filed under: uncultured bacterium
Lineage: Bacteria
Description: partial 16S ribosomal RNA
Rfam family: Bacterial small subunit ribosomal RNA
Source: RNAcentral